Molecule: non-coding RNA, 73 nt
Organism: Nanohaloarchaea archaeon SG9
Lineage: Archaea; Methanobacteriati; Methanobacteriota; Candidatus Nanohaloarchaea
Source: Rfam
GGCGGGAUGGUGUAGUGGACUAUCAUUGGCCGUUUGGGACGGCCAGACCCCGGUUCAAAUCCGGGUCCUGCCA